CGAGCGAAUGGAUUAAGAGCUUGCUCUUAUGAAGCUUAAGCGGCGGACGGGUGAGUAACACGUGGGUAACCUGCCCAUAAGACUGGGAUAACUCCGGGAAACCGGGGCUAAUASCGGAUAASAUUUUGAASSGGAUGGUUSGAAAUUGAAAGGCGGCUUCGGCUGUCACUUAUGGAUGGACCCGCGUSGGAUUAGCUAGUUGGUGAGGUAACGGSUCACCAAGGCAACGAUGCGUAGCGACCUGAGAGGGUGAUCGGCCACACUGGGACUGAGACACGGCCCAGACUYCUACGGGAGGCAGCAGUAGGGAAUCUUSCGSAAUGGACGAAAGUCUGACGGAGCAACGSCGCGUGAGUGAUGAAGGCUUUCGGGUCGUAAAACUCUGUUGUUAGGGAAGAACAAGUGCUAGUUGAAUAAGCUGGCACCUUGACGGUACCUAACCAGAAAGCCACGGCUAACUACGUGCCAGCAGCCGCGGUAAUACGUAGGUGGCAAGCGUUAUCCGGAAUUAUUGGGCGUAAAGCGCGCGCAGGUGGUUUCUUAAGUCUGAUGUGAAAGCCCACGGCUCAACCGUGGAGGGUCAUUGGAAACUG
RNAcentral lists this ribosomal RNA (593 nucleotides) under Bacillus sp. Bt 31. Its description in RNAcentral is "bacterial SSU rRNA". It matches the Rfam family "Bacterial small subunit ribosomal RNA", at positions 63 to 635 of the family's 1533-position model. The record is from RNAcentral. Lineage: Bacteria; Bacillati; Bacillota; Bacilli; Caryophanales; Bacillaceae.